CCUACGGGAGGCAGCAGUGGGGAAUUUUGGACAAUGGGCGCAAGCCUGAUCCAGCAAUGCCGCGUGCAGGAUGAAGGCCUUCGGGUUGUAAACUGCUUUUGUACGGAACGAAACGGCCCUUUCUAAUACAAGGGGCUAAUGACGGUACCGUAAGAAUAAGCACCGGCUAACUACGUGCCAGCAGCCGCGGUAAUACGUAGGGUGCGAGCGUUAAUCGGAAUUACUGGGCGUAAAGCGUGCGCAGGCGGUUAUAUAAGACAGAUGUGAAAUCCCCGGGCUCAACCUGGGACCUGCAUUUGUGACUGUAUAGCUAGAGUACGGUAGAGGGGGAUGGAAUUCCGCGUGUAGCAGUGAAAUGCGUAGAUAUGCGGAGGAACACCGAUGGCGAAGGCAAUCCCCUGGACCUGUACUGACGCUCAUGCACGAAAGCGUGGGGAGCAAACAGGAUUAGAUACCCUGGUAGUCCACGCCCUAAACGAUGUCAACUGGUUGUUGGGUCUUCACUGACUCAGUAACGAAGCUAACGCGUGAAGUUGACCGCCUGGGGAGUACGGCCGCGAAGGUUGAAACUCAAAGGAAUUGACGGCUGAGACGNGCGAGACGACGACGAGGGAGGAGG
Molecule: ribosomal RNA, 619 nt
Filed under: uncultured bacterium
Lineage: Bacteria
Description: bacterial SSU rRNA
Rfam family: Bacterial small subunit ribosomal RNA
Source: RNAcentral